This 428-nucleotide ribosomal RNA is filed under the name Acidobacteriota bacterium. Its description in RNAcentral is "Acidobacteria bacterium partial 16S ribosomal RNA". It matches the Rfam family "Bacterial small subunit ribosomal RNA", at positions 355 to 775 of the family's 1533-position model. The record is from RNAcentral. Lineage: Bacteria; Pseudomonadati; Acidobacteriota.
UGGGGAAUUUUGGACAAUGGGGGAAACCCUGAUCCAGCCAUCCCGCGUGUGCGAUGAAGGCCUUCGGGUUGUAAAGCACUUUUGGCAGGAAAGAAACGUCAUGGGUUAAUACCCCGUGAAACUGACGGUACCUGCAGAAUAAGCACCGGCUAACUACGUGCCAGCAGCCGCGGUAAUACGUAGGGUGCAAGCGUUAAUCGGAAUUACUGGGCGUAAAGCGUGCGCAGGCGGUUCGGAAAGAAAGAUGUGAAAUCCCAGAGCUCAACUUUGGAACUGCAUUUUUAACUACCGGGCUAGAGUGUGUCAGAGGGAGGUGGAAUUCCGCGUGUAGCAGGGAAAUGCGUAGAUAUGCGGAGGAACACCGAUGGCGAAGGCAGCCUCCUGGGAUAACACUGACGCUCAUGCACGAAAGCGUGGGGAGCAAACAG